Myotis lucifugus (little brown bat) is the source of this 93-nucleotide microRNA precursor. Ensembl annotates it as microRNA 940. Its record names the gene MIR940. Lineage: Eukaryota; Metazoa; Chordata; Mammalia; Chiroptera; Vespertilionidae. The record is from Ensembl.
GUGGGGUGUGGGCCAGGCCCAGGAGUGGGGCCUGGGCAGCAACACGUGUUAAGGAACGAAGGCAGGGGCCCUGCUCCCCAGGCCUGACCCCAC